RNAcentral lists this ribosomal RNA (171 nucleotides) under Triticum aestivum (bread wheat). RNAcentral describes it as "partial small subunit ribosomal RNA". The record is from RNAcentral. Lineage: Eukaryota; Viridiplantae; Streptophyta; Magnoliopsida; Poales; Poaceae.
AGGCAUGCACGCCCACAAUGUGAGGCUGACGAGGAGCUUAAUCAUUGGAGAUUUCUGUUCAGAUAUGCCAAACUAGGGCACUCUAAUGACAAGGCCACAGUAUCUGAAUUUCUUUCCCCUUAGUGUGGGGCUCAAAAAGGCAAGAAAUGCCCUAAUUUACAGUGCCCAUAG